This 429-nucleotide RNase P RNA is filed under the name bacterium. RNAcentral's name for it is "RNase P RNA component class A". It matches the Rfam family "Bacterial RNase P class A". From Rfam's summary of the family: Ribonuclease P (RNase P) is a ubiquitous endoribonuclease, found in archaea, bacteria and eukarya as well as chloroplasts and mitochondria. The record is from RNAcentral.
AGCGCAGACCGCUCUAUCGCUGUCCCGUUUACUCGGGAGAGAGGAAAGUCCGGGCAACGCAGGGCACCAUGCUUCUUAACAGGAAGGCGGGCGAAAGCUUGCAGUAAGGUAACAGAAAACGACCACCUGGUUUCGACGUGUCGCGACCGGGAACGGGUGAAAAGGCGAGGUAAAAGCUCACCGGUGGUUGUGGCAACACAAUCAGCCGUACUUCUGAUGGGUUGCAAAGCCAAAUAUAUCAUGAUUUUCAGGUACGCCUGAAUACAGAACGGCCCGUUUUGAUUCUUCGGAAGUCGUGAGGGGUAGGCUGCUGGAUCGGGUUAGUGAUAACCCGGGUAGAUAAAUGAUAGAGACCCUGAGACUUCGGCGUGAGCUCAGUCGAACGCUUGUCGAAGGGCACAGAACCCGGCUUACAGGUCUGCGUAUUUU